This 1530-nucleotide ribosomal RNA is filed under the name Candidatus Liptonbacteria bacterium RIFCSPLOWO2_01_FULL_52_25. RNAcentral describes it as "bacterial SSU rRNA". It matches the Rfam family "Bacterial small subunit ribosomal RNA", at positions 192 to 1533 of the family's 1533-position model. The record is from RNAcentral. Lineage: Bacteria; Candidatus Liptoniibacteriota.
CGGUUACUAGUAAAGAUGUAAAUCGCUCAAAGAUGGCCUUAGGUCCGAUCAGCUAGUUGGUAGGGUAACGGCCUACCAAGGCAAUGACCGGUAGGGGAGGUGAGAGCCUGGCCCCCAACGACGAGACUGAGACACGGCUCGUACUCCUACGGGAGGCAGUAGCCGAGAAUAUUCGACAAUGGACGAAAGUCUGAUCGAGCGACACCGCGUGCGGGAUGAAGGCCUUCGGGUUGUAAACCGCGGUAGUAGGGGAGAAAGCGCACCUCACUAAGGUGAGCUGCUCGUGGAGCUUGAAUCGUAAAGCGUGGAUCGUCGGCAUUAUUCGCAGACGUUUCACGAUAUGCGUUUCACGAUUCACGGAGCACAUCGCUUUAGCGAGGUGCGCUGAUUGUACCUUACGGAAAGAGNNNNNNNNNNNNNNNNNNNNNNAAAGAGGUGGGUAACUACGUGCCAGCACCAGCGGUAAUACGUAGACCUCAAGCGUUAUCCGGAUUUAUUGGGCGUAAAGAGCAUGUAGGAUGUUUUGUGCGUCUUUGGUUAAAUCCCACCGCCUAACGGUGGAACUGCCCGAGAUACGACAAAACUAGAGGGGGUUAGAGGUGCAUGGAACGCACGGUGUAGGGGUGAAAUCCGUUGAUAUCGUGCGGAACACCAAAGGCGAAGGCAGUGCACUGGGACCUUCCUGACUCUGAGAUGCGAAAGCGUGGGGAGCAAAAAGGAUUAGAUACCCUUGUAGUCCACGCCCUAAACGAUGCCCGCUUGGUGUUUCGAGUAUCGACCCUCGGAGUGCCGUAGCUAACGCGUUAAGCGGGCCGCCUGGGAAGUACGAGCGCAAGCUUAAAACUCAAAGGAAUAGACGGGGACUCGCACAAGCGGUGGAACAUGAGGUUUAAUUCGAUGCUAAGCGAGGAACCUUACCAGGGCUAGAAAUGUGUGUUGACGGCGUCGGGAAACCGGUGCCUUCUCUCAAGGACAAUACACUCAGGUGCUGCAUGGUUGUCGUCAGCUCGUGCUUUGAAGUGUUCCCUUAAGUGGGGUAACGAGCGCAACCCCUGCUCCGUGUUACACGUAUCACGGGGGACUGCCCAGCCCAAAGUCCGGAGGACUUUGGGAUAUAUCGAAAUUUCGACAUUUCGAAAUCUCCCAAAAACCUGUGGUUUUUGGGCUGGGAGGAAGGAGGGGAUGACGUCAAAUCCGCAUGGCCCUUUGAUGCCCUGGGCGACACUCGUGUUACAAUGGCCACGACAAUGGGUUGCCAACCCGCAAGGGGGAGCUAAUCCCAUCAAACGUGGCCCCAGUUCGGAUUGGGGGCUGAAACCCGCCCCCAUGAAGCCGGAAUCGCUAGUAAUCGCGGAUCAGCCACGCCGCGGUGAAUACGUUCUCGAGUCCUGUACUCACUGCCCGUCAAGCCAAGGAAGCCGGUAAUAGAUGAAGCCUCUCUCUUUGCGCGAGAGCGCAAAGAGCGCGGAAGUACGCGGAACGCACGCGGACUAACGCGGAAGAAAUUCCGCGCAGGUCAGCGUUAAGUCU